Molecule: ribosomal RNA, 468 nt
Filed under: uncultured bacterium
Lineage: Bacteria
Description: partial 16S ribosomal RNA
Rfam family: Bacterial small subunit ribosomal RNA (bases 58-468)
Source: RNAcentral
GGGGGGGGGGGGGGGGGGGGGGGGGGGGGGGGGGGGGGGGGGGGGGGGCGUGGGGGGGGGGGGUGCGCGGGGGGCGGACGGGGGAGUAGGGCGUGGGUAACCUGCCGGGGACUUUGGGAGAACGUCAGGAGACUGGGGGGAGUACCGGGUAGGAGCUCCUGCUGCAUGGUGGGGGUUGGAAAGUUUCGGCGGUUGGGGAUGGACUCGCGGCUUAUCAGCUUGUUGGUGGGGUAGUGGCUUACCAAGGCUUUGACGGGUAGCCGGCCUGAGAGGGUGACCGGCCACAUUGGGACUGAGAUACGGCCCAGACUCCUACGGGAGGCAGCAGUGGGGAAUAUUGCACAAUGGGCGGAAGCCUGAUGCAGCAACGCCGCGUGCGGGAUGACGGCCUUCGGGUUGUAAACCGCUUUCGCCUGUGACGAAGCGUGAGUGACGGUAAUGGGUAAAGAAGCACCGGCUAACUACGUG